Ictalurus punctatus (channel catfish) is the source of this 2126-nucleotide long non-coding RNA. The record is from Ensembl. NCBI's taxonomy places the organism in Eukaryota, Metazoa, Chordata, Actinopteri, Siluriformes, Ictaluridae.
UUCUCAGCUAAAGUUAGCGCUGAUAAUACUCACACAGACACACACAGACACACACACACACACACACACACACACACACACACACACACACACACACACACAGUGGUGUAAAGUUACACAUGACUGCUUUAUUUAUAGCAGUGUGUGAAAGGCUUCGGAUGGCUGGGCACUGAGAGAAGAACACUGAUCGUGAACUGUUUCACUUUUUCAUGUAGAAAAGAAAAUCCAGGCAAAUCCAGCAGCCGUGAUGCAGUGAGGAGUUUAGCUCAGGAAGGAGAACCGCACAUACUCUUUCACGUUAGCGUAAAGAUCGUUCUGUCUGCGUUGCCCCCUCUGGCUGCUAUGGGGAACUACAGCUCUACAGAGAUUGAAGUUUUUAAAGGCAUUGUAUCAGCAGCGGGGAGCGAAACACACACACUGCAGAACCAAGCCUCAAUUAAUCAUCAUGAAGUGUGGGAUCGUCUGACUGAAACGCUGCAGGAACCCGAUCUGUUCUCCCUCAAGUUCCUCCACAACAUCACAGAGACGACCGGAGAACCUUCAGAACCUAAAACAGAUGCUCCUCCAGAACCAGAAGUCUCUCCAUCUCCAGAAGUUUCCUCUGCAUCCUCUAACUCCUCCUCCCCGACCGUCUCCUCCCUCAUUUCUGCACUCAGAUCCUCAGAUUCCUCCUCGUCACGUCCUAAACCCCAUCUCGUUGCUCACGGCCCUCCGACUUUACAGAAACUAAAUGUGGAGCUUCAUGACAUGAGAGAGGAGCUGGAGCUGCUGAAGACUCAGCACAAGUACGCAAGUGUGUGUGUGUAAGUGUGUGUGUGUGUGUGUGUGUGUGUGUGUGUGUGUGUGUGUGCUACAAUAAUGUAUUUCGACCAGAGAAGUCUACAAGUCCCCCAGAAUUUGCAUACAGCCGCUUUAAAACACUAAAAAUCAAAGUGAAAAUGAAUAUUUAUCUGUGUCAUAGGAGAGAAAUUAAACUGCUAAUGAGCGAGCUAGAUGAAGAGAAGAAAAUGCGCCUUUCGCUGCAGGUCGAGGUGGAGCGUCUUAAGAGGCGCAUGUCCAAAUAAGACAUGGGCACGUCAUGUUGUAAAGACGUUUCCAUGAUAACUGUGGUUAUUAAACACACUCCCAGGAUGAAACGUUUUGGUGUUUAAGAGAAGGACACAACGUGCUUUGAGAAAAAUAGUUCUUCAUCUCCCACGACUUUGUGUUCCUCUGGGAACACAAAGACGUUGUGUGGAUCCUCGGAUGACACGUGAUGUGUUCCAUUUGUACUAACCUCUGAGUUCACUACCUAGUACACUAUUUACACCUGAAGUAAACACACCCCUUGGUACUGCACUCAGCACACAUGGAUCUUACUGUAUGUGUAUAUCUUAUUCAUUUUUCUCCUACAACACACUGUGACUUAAAAAUGGUUGUCUUCCACUUCCUGUUCAUGUUAACCCUCACACAACAUAUCACUAUACUGAAGACAUCUUUAGGAUAACUCAUUCAUUAAACACAACAUCCACUCCAUUACUCAUUACAGGGAGUAAAUAUGGAGUUAGAAAAAACACCUGAACCCACAAUACUGAGAAAAGUGUAUGAUGAUGUCCAGCUGUCUGUGCUUCCUGUUCUCUCUCUCUCUCUCUCUCUCUCUCUCUCUCUCUCUCUCUCUCUCUCUCUCUGAUGUGAGAAAUGAAGCUUCAUUAAACUCUGGCGCCAUCUUCUGGGAGAUUGCUGUAACUGCUUUAAGGAAAACUGUAACAGUUAAUUGUGUGUGAUUUUUAUUUAAUGCUCAUCUGUAAUGUCCUGAAAUAAACCAGUAUGAAUUCUUCUACACUGCAGUCCUUCUCACAUAUUCCAAUGUGUUUAAAUAAAGUGUGUGUUACUUUACAAUCAUCAGCACAUCUCUGAACUCCUUUGUGUGGCUCUAGAUCCAUCUGCAUGCCUCUAGAACCCUAAACACAUCUCUAGAACCCUAGAGUUCUCACCACUUCUCUAGAACUCUCAACGCAUGUUCAGAACCCUCGGCAUUCUGCAUAACUUGUCACUAGACCACACACAUGGCUCUAAAACUCUUGUUGCUCUUCUAUAACCCUCAGCAUAUCUAUAGCGUCAUCAAUGCAUCUCUAGAGGCCCUAUUG